This is a long non-coding RNA of Pan troglodytes (chimpanzee), 3029 nucleotides long. RefSeq lists it as uncharacterized. The transcript has 5 exons. Lineage: Eukaryota; Metazoa; Chordata; Mammalia; Primates; Hominidae. The record is from RefSeq and is a predicted model, not a curated record.
ACCUUCAGUGAGAUUCAGAUUGUCACAAAAUGAGAGUGGACUAGAUGAAGUCUCUCCAACUCAUUGUAUCCAACUUGCCCUCAGGGAUACUCUCUGGAAUCUUACCAUCCACAAGGCUACCUACAGGGACCUAAACAUCCUGUGUCCACAGAGCCUCCCAUGAAGAACGAAGAGCCAGUUCAGCAGAUGGAUAGAGAAAACACUCCCCAAGGGUCACUGGACAGCAGUGCUACCACAAGGGAGACAGGGGCCUGGGUCGCCUCCCUACCCCUGAGUAGAAACACAUCACUCAUAAUCCAGAUUCAGCUGUGAGCCCCUUGUUCUUUAUUUCCUCCUACCUCAAGCUCCAGAGGGAGAAAUUCUGCAGCAUCUCUAGGAGGGAGAGACGGAGUGGCUCUCAACUUGAGUGUGCAGCAGAAUCACGUGCAGAGCUUGGUCAGCUGAUUGCUGGACACUACACACAAGGAGCAUGCCUGGAUACACAGCUUAGGGACAAGAAACCUACGCUCACCAAGUGUCCACCAGCUCCUCGGCAAGGAGGGAGUAAAAUGAAUUUUUUCUGCCACAACUUCUCUAGGCAUUUGUCUGGUCUUCUGCUGGAAAAUGUGGAUGUGGUUGUGAUCAUACUAGACCCUGGGAAUAAGGACAAACCUGAUGAAUGGUGAAGUGAGCAGAAAGAAAGUGGAUCCCAGAGGACUUUUCAGAGAGGAGCUUCCAGGCCACAGUAUACAUCUGUGGACUUUGAAGCAAGAUAACUACUAUCUGUGUGCCCCUUCCAACCUAACUGCUGAGGCCUGACAGAUACCAAAGAGGAUCUUCAGAGACGCCAGAGGUCGGGUGCCAUCCCUGGAAACGAGGAGAACAGAGUGCUGGAAAGAAUCUUCCAUUCUUUUUUCCUCUGAGCCUUGAUUUCCAUAUCUGAAAUGAGGAGACUCUGCCUACUUCCUGGAGAAUCGUGAGGAACAAAGAACUUUUGCACAGUACCUGAUGUAGUAGGCACUUAAUAAAAGAAGCUGGACAGAUGAUUGCCUUUCUCCACAAUCACCUCAAGGGAAAUACUAAAGCAGAAAAGUCAUUCUAUGGGGGCAGCUUCAGGGCAAAUGAGGAAGGAGGCACUCUUCCCUUCUACUGCCUUGAAGGUAGCAACCACUGCCAAAUGACUGCAUGUCCAUGGGGGUGCAGGCAGCUCUGUCGCACUGGGUGGCAGCUACCCACAUCCCACUGAGGCUCAGUGGGAAAUAGCUACAUGACCGGGGAGGAGCUUGAUGGCAGGGACUUCUUUAAAAGCAGAAGCCUGGUCCACUUCAAGGAGCAAGUGGCCAGUGCCCAGGCAGCCCAUGUCUGCAUCCUCGGCUACUCUACAGCAUAACUCAUACAGCUAUGGAGUGCACCCUACACACAGGCCCUGAACCAAGGAAGCAAACGAGGGCCAAAGCCCAGCCCAUCCUCCAUGCAGCCAGCCAGACUCCCUGGCUGGAGGAAGGAGGUGCCUCUUGAAUUUUUAUAAACCGCAUAGGAACUAGUGGUGGCCAGGUGCUUCUUUGGAGUUUUUAAGACUGACUUUGAAUCACAAAAAGAGUCUUUGCCUCCUUCCACCAACCUUAUCAAGUCUCCCCUAUUUGCUAGCCGACCAAGCCACAGUCCCUGCCUCGAGGGGCCCAGAGUCUGAAGAUGGGACAGACUUGGAAGUAAAUGACUGCAGGACAGGAUAACCCAGCUAGGACAAGUGCUUCUGGAGAGACAGAGGAGCAACUGCCCAGAUCACAGGACCCAUUAGGGGCAGGGUGCAGAGGAGAAAUCUUCAUCAGAAGGAUAAGGAAGUGCAGCCAAAUGAAAAGAGGGAAUGAGAGGGAGCAAGAGGAAAGGAAAUGCAGGGAAAGGAAGAAGAGAAUAAAGAAAUAUUGCAAAAGAUGAGAUGAAAGUGAAAGAAUGAAGAGGAUCCCAGCCAGUAUGAAGAAGCUUGUGAGUGUGUGUGUGCGUGCAUGUGUGCACUUACACCAGACAGAGAAAUAUAGGGGUGGGGUACACUCUGCGCAAGGCAUUGAGAUGGUCACUUUAUAGACCUUAUCUCAUUGAGUCCUUAUAGCAAUCUUGUGAUCAUUACUAUUCCCAUUUUACAGAUAAGGAACUUAGACAGAUGGAAGCCAAAAGACCCAGCUGAUAUAUGAUGGAAUCCACGCUGCCCCCAGUGUACCACAGGAGAGGCAGAGCUGUCCUUUGCUGCUGGUGACUCAGUCCCUCCAAUGCCCCUCUUCGUCUUCCCCCUGUGUCAGGCUAUUGGAUCACUGCAGCACCCCCUGGAGCCCCGAAGCCAUGGCCUCAGCACCACAGUGACGAUUUCAAAUGCCAGCUCUGGCUGAGGCUAAGGUUGCUGGCAUGAAAUCAAGUCUGCCAUUAGCACAAUGUCCAGGGAACAUUUGGGCAGCUAUCUGUCCCUCUCAGCCCAGGUACAUGGGGGUUAUGUUGAUUAAAUAAAUCUAAUCAUGGAAAUGAACUGACCCAGGUGAUGGGCACAGCACUCAGCUCCAAGUUACUGGUGAUUGUCAGAAAAUCCAAUUAAGAUAGAGCUGAGCCUACUGUGCUGCAUACAGUUAAUUGAGGGCAAGGGUAGGGGCAAAGGGGAAGCUAAGAAAGGAAAUCAUGUCUUAAUAUCCAUUAAGUUAAUCUCCCUCUUAAGCAGUGCCAGAGAGAGUCCAGGAAGAACCUAGAAGAGAAUUUAAUGGAAACUAGGUACCAGCCUGCUUUUAAUAUUUUCUUGACAUUCUGGCUGGGGGACAUGUGACAGGCACAGGAGACAAGGACGUGCAAGUCUAUGUGUCAUUUACGGAGCCAUGGACUAGGACUGUGGAGGCCCAAGGUCAAAUCUGUUCUGGGCUCCAUCACCAAUUAACCACUUGAUAUUUGACGCUGUCCUAUCUGAGCCUUAAUAAAAUGGAGUGCUAGAACUGGACCAAAGCCACCUGGUGGCUUUGAAGACCUUCAGCAGGAGAGGGGAAGAAAAUGAAAAUACAGGAAUUUGAGAAAAAUCU